Molecule: transfer RNA, 69 nt
Filed under: Aulacus sinensis
Lineage: Eukaryota; Metazoa; Arthropoda; Insecta; Hymenoptera; Aulacidae
Description: tRNA-Tyr
Source: RNAcentral
AGUAAUAUGGCUGAUUUAAAGUAAUAAAUUGUAAAUUUAUAUAUAAAUAGGAAUUCUAUUUUAUUACUA